Molecule: ribosomal RNA, 721 nt
Filed under: uncultured Acidobacteriota bacterium
Lineage: Bacteria; Pseudomonadati; Acidobacteriota
Description: bacterial SSU rRNA
Rfam family: Bacterial small subunit ribosomal RNA
Source: RNAcentral
AGCAAUACCUGAGUACAGCGGCGCACGGGUGAGUAACACGUGGGUAAUCUGCCCUGGAGUGGGGAAUAACACCGGGAAACCGGUGCUAAUACCGCAUAAGAUGACGAGGUCUGCGGAUUUUGUCAUGAAAGGAGCAAUUCGCUCCAGGAGGAGCCCGCGGCUGAUUAGCUAGUUGGUGAGGUAAUGGCUCACCAAGGCAUCGAUCAGUAGCCGGUCUGAGAGGACGGUCGGCCACACUGGAACUGAGACACGGUCCAGACUCCUACGGGAGGCAGCAGUGGGGAAUUUUUGGCAAUGGGGGCAACCCUGACCAAGCAACGCCGCGUGGAUGAUGAAGUAUCUCGGUACGUAAAAUCCUUUCGACAGGGAAGAAACCCGCAAGGGUUGACGGUACCUGUAGAAGAAGCCCCGGCUAACUCCGUGCCAGCAGCCGCGGUAAUACGGGGGGGGCAAGCGUUGUUCGGAAUUACUGGGCGUAAAGGGCGCGUAGGCGGUUUGCUAAGUUGGAUGUGAAAACUCUGGGCUUAACCCAGAGCCUGCAUCCAAAACUGGCAAGCUCGAGUUUUGGAGGGGGAAGCGGAAUUCCUGGUGUAGCAGUGAAAUGCGUAGAUAUCAGGAGGAACACCGGUGGCGAAGGCGGCUUCCUGGACAAAAACUGACGCUGAGGCGCGAAAGCUAGGGGAGCAAACAGGAUUAGAUACCCUGGUAGUCCUAGCCCUAA